Molecule: ribosomal RNA, 634 nt
Filed under: Cellulosimicrobium sp. CH237
Lineage: Bacteria; Bacillati; Actinomycetota; Actinomycetes; Micrococcales; Promicromonosporaceae
Also listed under: 1 other name
Description: bacterial SSU rRNA
Rfam family: Bacterial small subunit ribosomal RNA
Source: RNAcentral
UGGAAUGCGCAGAUAUCAGGAGGAACACCGAUGGCGAAGGCAGGUCUCUGGGCCGCAACUGACGCUGAGGAGCGAAAGCAUGGGGAGCGAACAGGAUUAGAUACCCUGGUAGUCCAUGCCGUAAACGUUGGGCACUAGGUGUGGGGCUCAUUCCACGAGUUCCGUGCCGCAGCAAACGCAUUAAGUGCCCCGCCUGGGGAGUACGGCCGCAAGGCUAAAACUCAAAGGAAUUGACGGGGGCCCGCACAAGCGGCGGAGCAUGCGGAUUAAUUCGAUGCAACGCGAAGAACCUUACCAAGGCUUGACAUGCACGAGAAGCCACCAGAGAUGGUGGUCUCUUUGGACACUCGUGCACAGGUGGUGCAUGGUUGUCGUCAGCUCGUGUCGUGAGAUGUUGGGUUAAGUCCCGCAACGAGCGCAACCCUCGUCCCAUGUUGCCAGCGGGUUAUGCCGGGGACUCAUGGGAGACUGCCGGGGUCAACUCGGAGGAAGGUGGGGAUGACGUCAAAUCAUCAUGCCCCUUAUGUCUUGGGCUUCACGCAUGCUACAAUGGCCGGUACAAAGGGCUGCGAUACCGUAAGGUGGAGCGAAUCCCAAAAAGCCGGUCUCAGUUCGGAUUGGGGUCUGCAACUCG